Molecule: ribosomal RNA, 100 nt
Filed under: Schizosaccharomyces octosporus yFS286
Lineage: Eukaryota; Fungi; Ascomycota; Schizosaccharomycetes; Schizosaccharomycetales; Schizosaccharomycetaceae
Source: RNAcentral
GUCUACGGCCAAACCUAGACGAAAACACCAGUUCCCGUCCGAUCACUGCAGUUAAGCGUCUGAGGGUCUCGUCUCGUUAGUUUAGGAGUAAAUGUAUGCA